UGAUUUGAAGAUUUGUUUUGC
RNAcentral lists this non-coding RNA (21 nucleotides) under Caenorhabditis elegans. Lineage: Eukaryota; Metazoa; Nematoda; Chromadorea; Rhabditida; Rhabditidae. The record is from RNAcentral.